AUAUUGCGCAAUGGCCGCAAGGCUGACGCAGCGACGCCGCGUGGAGGAUGAAGCCCCUCGGGGUGUAAACUCCUGUUGCUCGGGACGAACCAUGGGUUUCGACCCAUCUGACGGUACCGAGUGAGGAAGCACCGGCUAACUCCGUGCCAGCAGCCGCGGUAAUACAGAGGGUGCGAGCGUUAAUCGGAAUUACUGGGCGUAAAGCGCGCGUAGGCGGUCUUGUAAGUCGGGUGUGAAAGCCCCGGGCUCAACCUGGGAAUUGCAUUCGAGACUGCAGGACUGGAGUAUUGGAGAGGGCAGCGGAAUUUCCGGUGUAGCGGUGAAAUGCGUAGAUAUCGGAAGGAACAUCAGUGGCGAAAGCGGCUGCCUGGCCAAAUACUGACGCUCAUGUGCGAAAGCGUGGGGAGCAAACAGG
RNAcentral lists this ribosomal RNA (415 nucleotides) under uncultured bacterium. RNAcentral's name for it is "bacterial SSU rRNA". It matches the Rfam family "Bacterial small subunit ribosomal RNA", at positions 361 to 776 of the family's 1533-position model. The record is from RNAcentral.